Myodes glareolus (Bank vole) is the source of this 574-nucleotide non-coding RNA. NCBI's taxonomy places the organism in Eukaryota, Metazoa, Chordata, Mammalia, Rodentia, Cricetidae. The record is from RefSeq and is a predicted model, not a curated record.
UGGAGCCAGCCACCAGAUCAGACAUGCUGAAUCUUUCCCGUUUUCAUCCACCUGGAGUCAUCGGCAUUGGGCUGGCACUGGUCAUUCUGGACCUGAGGCAGAAGGGGUUUGGGAUGAGAAGCUCGGCCUCCCGAGGAGAUGAGGACCUCACUCCCUGCUUCCUGAUGCUCUACAACACUGAUCUCGUGGGAGAGGGGCCGCCAGUUCCCAAACCGAGAACAGAUAAGUAAGCUACACUCAACGAUGUCUGAACAUUGAUCCUGGAGAAAGAAUUUACAGUUCAGUCACUUGCAAGUCAUGACAAGUCUGAACAGGAUGGAACGUCUAGGAAAUCCACAGGCUCUGUCCUCACCACCUGUGUCCUUCGCCUUGUGCCUUUUCUCCUCAGCUCCCCAGGCCUCCGCCCGUUUUGCUCACAGCUUUCUCUAGAGUGAAAACCAAAACACUUCCCCAACAUGGCUAUACUUGUGAUUGAUUCCUAUAAAUGAAUCUGAACCUCAGAGGUUCCUGACCUCUCUGUAAACCCUCUCCUCCCUUUCCCCAGGCUAGGUGCUUACAAAAAAUUCAAAGAUGA